AUACUCCGAGAACUGAAAGGCUUUUUGAAGUCUUCGGAUGGAUAGAAGAACCCCUGAUGCCGUCGAGCCAAGAAAAGUUUCUAAGUUUAGCUAAUGUUGCCCGUACCGUAAACCGACACAGGUGGGUGGGAUGAGUAUUCUAAGGCGCGUGGAAGAACUCUCUUUAAGGAACUCUGCAAAAUAGCACCGUAUCUUCGGUAUAAGGUGUGGUUAGCUUUGUAUUAGGAUUUACUCUGAAAGCAAGGAAACUUACAACAAAGAGUCCCUCCCGACUGUUUACCAAAAACACAGCACUCUGCUAACUCGUAAGAGGAUGUAUAGGGUGUGACGCCUGCCCGGUGCUCGAAGGUUAAUUGAUGGGGUUAGCAUUAGCGAAGCUCUUGAUCGAAGCCCGAGUAAACGGCGGCCGUAACUAUAACGGUCCUAAGGUAGCGAAAUUCCUUGUCGGUUAAAUACCGACCUGCAUGAAUGGCGUAACGAGAUGGGAGCUGUCUCAAAGAGGGAUCCAGUGAAAUUGUAGUGGAGGUGAAAAUUCCUCCUACCCGCGGCAAGACGGAAAGACCCCGUGGACCUUUACUACAGCUUGACACUGCUACUUGGAUAAGAAUGUGCAGGAUAGGUGGGAGGCUUUGAGUAUAUGACGCCAGUUGUAUAUGAGCCAUUGUUGAGAUACCACUCUUUCUUAUUUGGGUAGCUAACCAGCUUGAGUUAUCCUCAAGUGGGACAAUGUCUGGUGGGUAGUUUGACUGGGGCGGUCGCCUCCCAAAUAAUAACGGAGGCUUACAAAGGUUGGCUCAGAACGGUUGGAAAUCGUUCGUAGAGUAUAAAGGUAUAAGCCAGCUUAACUGCAAGACAUACAAGUCAAGCAGAGACGAAAGUCGGUCUUAGUGAUCCGGUGGUUCUGUGUGGAAGGGCCAUCGCUCAAAGGAUAAAAGGUACCCCGGGGAUAACAGGCUGAUCUCCCCCAAGAGCUCACAUCGACGGGGAGGUUUGGCACCUCGAUGUCGGCUCAUCGCAUCCUGGGGCUGGAGCAGGUCCCAAGGGUAUGGCUGUUCGCCAUUUAAAGCGGUACGCGAGCUGGGUUCAGAACGUCGUGAGACAGUUCGGUCCCUAUCUGCCGUGGGCGUAAGAAGAUUGAAGAGAUUUGACCCUAGUACGAGAGGACCGGGUUGAACAAACCACUGGUGUAGCUGUUGUUCUGCCAAGAGCAUCGCAGCGUAGCUAAGUUUGGAAAGGAUAAACGCUGAAAGCAUCUAAGCGUGAAGCCAACUCUAAGAUGAAUCUUCUCUAAGCUCUCUAGAAGACUACUAGUUUGAUAGGCUGGGUGUGUAAUGGAUGAAAGUCCUUUAGCUGACCAGUACUAAUAGAGCGUUUGGCUUAUCUUUAAUAAAGCAU
RNAcentral lists this ribosomal RNA (1395 nucleotides) under Campylobacter jejuni. RNAcentral describes it as "partial 23S ribosomal RNA". It matches the Rfam family "Bacterial large subunit ribosomal RNA", at positions 1540 to 2925 of the family's 2925-position model. The record is from RNAcentral. Lineage: Bacteria; Pseudomonadati; Campylobacterota; Epsilonproteobacteria; Campylobacterales; Campylobacteraceae.